GACGAACGCUGGCGGCGUGCCUAAUACAUGCAAGUAGAACGCUGAAGCGAGGAGCUUCCUCUUCUUGGAUGAGUUGCGAACGGGUGAGUAACGCGUAGGUAACCUGCCUUGUAGCGGGGGAUAACUAUUGGAAACGAUAGCUAAUACCGCAUAACAAUGGAUGACACAUGUCAUUUAUUUGAAAGGGGCAAUUGCUCCACUACAAGAUGGACCUGCGUUGUAUUAGCUAGUAGGUGAGGUAAUGGCUCACCUAGGCGACGAUACAUAGCCGACCUGAGAGGGUGAUCGGCCACACUGGGACUGAGACACGGCCCAGACUCCUACGGGAGGCAGCAGUAGGGAAUCUUCGGCAAUGGGGGCAACCCUGACCGAGCAACGCCGCGUGAGUGAAGAAGGUUUUCGGAUCGUAAAGCUCUGUUGUAAGUCAAGAACGGGGGUGAGAGUGGAAAGUUCACACUGUGACGGUAGCUUACCAGAAAGGGACGGCUAACUACGUG
RNAcentral lists this ribosomal RNA (497 nucleotides) under uncultured bacterium. RNAcentral describes it as "partial 16S ribosomal RNA". It matches the Rfam family "Bacterial small subunit ribosomal RNA", at positions 28 to 507 of the family's 1533-position model. The record is from RNAcentral.